Molecule: transfer RNA, 85 nt
Filed under: Triticum aestivum (bread wheat)
Lineage: Eukaryota; Viridiplantae; Streptophyta; Magnoliopsida; Poales; Poaceae
Also listed under: 1 other name
Description: tRNA tRNA-Tyr
Rfam family: tRNA
About the family: Transfer RNA (tRNA) molecules are approximately 80 nucleotides in length. Their secondary structure includes four short double-helical elements and three loops (D, anti-codon, and T loops).
Source: Rfam by way of RNAcentral
CCGACCUUAGCUCAGUUGGUAGAGCGGAGGACUGUAGUGUUGCAGGUUAAUCCUUAGGUCGCUGGUUCGAAUCCGGCAGGUCGGA